GGCCGGGGCUGGGAAUGCAAUCCCCGGGAGCCCGCCUAGUGAACUUCCCCGCCCUUCCUUCCCGCUUUGGAACAGGCCUUUCACCUCUAUUCGCCUUCUCCGCCCAUCCCUAAGCUACAAGGAUAACACGAGGAUGGAAAGCCAAGCCCUGGCUCUGGCUAAGUUUUCUGGUCGUAGAAGCCAGCUGAAGACUACGAAAAAGGACCGGCGAGCGGUGUCCUUGGUGACUCGGGUGUGCAGAGAGGCGUGCUCUGGCAGCUGGGCAGGUUACAGUCAUUUUCCAAAAACUUGGGAGACUAGACCGUCCUGGUUUUCAUUGGUGAAGGGAGCUCGGAGAGAUUAAGGCAAAGAAAGGAGAGAAACCGGAACUCGACCUGCGCUGGGUGCAUUGCCGAGUUCAAGCCCUUUACAACCCCAGAAUGUGCUGGGCAGGAAGUUUUCCGGUUCUCAGGCGCGCCCCUGCUCGGUUGCAGUUUCACUCUUCUAGGAUUGCAGCAGUUCCCUGGUGCCAAAAAAAGAUGCGGAAGUUAAGGAUAAAGGAUAAACUGUAGAGUCCCAGGCUUGAAGUGUAAAAGGCCACCAUUUACCCUCCCGGAAAAAAGAUACCCACGGGGCUGAUUAAUUCAUAAGGUUCCUUUCAUCCCCCUCCUGAUGAUGAAAUGCUUGUGGAUUUGGGGAGACAUAGAAAAAAGAGAUCAUGGCCAGAAGACAGCACCUUCAAAUUUAUUAAUAAAAACUCAAAAAAUAUAUAUUUUGGACAAUUUUUUUUCUAUAACAUAGUUCAGUUUCAACAUACAAUUAAAGAUUGUCAAAGUUAUUGUAUAGAGGAAAGGAGAAACUUCAAGAUAAAGUAUUUUGACUACAGAACAAAAAUAGAUGUGAGACAUCAAGACUGGUGCUGGAGUUCUCCAUACUUGGUCUCGGGCAGGACUGUGCUCAG
Long non-coding RNA from Onychomys torridus (southern grasshopper mouse), 940 nucleotides. RefSeq lists it as uncharacterized. The record is from RefSeq and is a predicted model, not a curated record. Lineage: Eukaryota; Metazoa; Chordata; Mammalia; Rodentia; Cricetidae. The transcript has 4 exons.